AAUAGAAGAGAGUUUCAUGUUACCACAGUAAAAGAUAUAUAAAUGUGCAAACAAGUACUACAACAUGUACAGUACUCACAAUAUACAUGCCAAUUAAGAACUACUCAGAAAUCAUACAACUGCAAGAGCAUCAAGUAUUACCAUCUUCCUUCAACUUCAGCUCAGCACUUAUGGCUCCAAACAUUAGAUGUUGACUCUGCAAACAAUAAUUUGAAUAACUGAUAAGGAACCACCACCACCAUUCCAUUCAGCUCUAUAUCUAAGACUACUUUUAUAAGUCAAUUCGACAUCUAAGACUCGUUCGAUAUGAUUAUUUUCGUCAAUCAUAUACUUUUUCUAGCUCAUUUCUCUCUGUUUCCCCCUAAAAAAAAAUACUAGUAUAAUUGUCAGCAGUCAUACAGAUUAGCUGCACGCUGAACUGCACCAUUCCCAGCACAAACAACAAGGCGACACAUAGAUGACAACUGCAAAAUGAGAUACAAAAUGGUGUUUUUAUUGAUUUCAAAGAAAAAUAAAUGUUGCUAUGCUAGCCAGAUAAUCCUAUUUGUUUCUAAGGCCUACUUUACGACCAAAUGCAAGUCCUGCAAUUAACAAUAUUUCACUUUGAGAGGUCCUACAUUAGGGAAGAGUCACUUGAAGUUUGCAAUUUACUUUAAAGGGUGCAUGAGUGCACUAGUUAAAAAUUGUUUCACUGUGUGACAUAGGAGCAUGUCAAGGAUUGGUAUGCUACUUUUUACAACUUUAUCGGAGAUGAAAUGAGACUCAACAAUCUUAUGAAUGUGUAGAUCUUGAUCAACAUUUUGUAGUGGGAUACAUAUUUAACUCAUUAACUUAGCCAAGAAAAGGAAAGAAACUGCAGAAAUCCAGAACAGAAGUUGAAAAGCAGAAAUGCUGCACCAAACCACUCUCUACAUCCCUCAGUCCACUAAAACAAGAACCAUCUAAGCAACUAAUGGAACACGAAAAAUAAAAAUAAAAAAAAUAACAAAUAGAGCUCUUCGAAAAUGGACCAAUAAUCAACCAAGGGAUGCCAGACGUGUGCGACUGGUUGCCAAUUCUCUAAUCACUAUACAACUCAAGCAGCAGAAGAGACAAAGAGAUUCCAGUCGUGCACUUUGAAACUAGAGACUGCAUGUUUAAAAACUUCAGCCAUUGGCAUAACUCCAGACUGUGCAGCAGGUACAGCCAUGCCUGCCCCGACUGCGGUAGCACUCUCACUCCUGGGGCUACAAUCGCAAAGGUAAACAAGAAAAUGUUAAACAGCCAGUUAAUUUGACUUUACAGCUUUAGGAACAGCAGGAGGAAACCGAGUUAUCGUCCAAACGUACUUAAUUACUAGAGGCUCAUACGCAGUUAUCAGAACAUCUGUCCCAACUCCCUUGAGGCGAAUGUUUGCCAGGUAAACCUGAAUGGGACAUGAUCAGAUCUCAUCUUACACUUAAAACUGCAUCGGGGGAAGGGGCAGCGGGUGGAAGGGAAUUUACAAACUUACCUUAACCAAGUUCUGUGCUUCCCUACCUUGUCUUCCCUUAGAAACAGCCUAUGAAUUGAAUAAGGUUGAUCAGGAUUAAGCUUGAUAACAUGAAAUGAUAAAUUUUACCAACUAAUAAAAGAAACUUAUGAAAUUUCAUAACUAGUUGAAAGUUUGGGUGUUGGGAGAUACAAUAAUCUUCACAUCUACUUCCGUUUUUACAGAAAAUAAUUUCAGGCAAAUGUAAAUGAAGAAGGAAGAUACUUUAGCUUUACUAAAAUAUCUACCCAUUAAGGGGAGAGAACUAAAUCCUCUUCUAAUAACGUGCAGUUCAGAACAUUGUCAUAUAACAUGAUAGAGGAACAUCAUUACUAGGUUCCUUAUCCGACAAAAACGUCAUCUGCAUUUUGGCCAGGUCACUCAAUGAAUGUAUUAUAUGUAAAAAUUAAAGAGAAGAUAGCCAAAAUGUGGAGUUGAAAGGAGACCAAGCUCAUCUAUCAGUUAUAUUCAAAGCAAAUUCAAGUCAUACAUGAGUCCUAAUUUUCAGAAUACUACACAAUGGAUCUACCAACUUUGUCAAGAAAGUUACAAAUCCUAAAACUCGUUUCAUACAGGAGCACAAAGUACGGAAUUUACUGUAAAGAGAAUGGAGGUUCUUUUUUUUGGUUUUUUUGAUAACGUGGUGUAAGAGAAUGAAAGUUCUUAGGAUUUAACCUAGCGAUGCCAAUUGAAGUUGAGAUCAUACAUAAAUGCUGAGCACUUCUAAAAUAAGAGUAACAUACCAUUUGUCCAACAGCGGUGGUGAUGACAGCAGGCAUGUUUCUAUAGCACAAUCCAGGGACCUCAAACACAGCUGACUGCUCAGUGAUCUGUAGAUAUAAACAGAAAAAAUCAACAAGAUAAAAUGUGAGAUGUUAUGUAACAUGACAACUUAUAAAAUAUUUGGACUUAACUAGUUAUCAAAGUGCAAGCUUCAGAGAAAUGCACAAGUUCAAUAUCUCACAUUUCAUGUGACAAAAUUAUGAUUUAAAUACAAGACCAAUUAUUUAAAUACAUUGAAGAAAAACUCAUCGGAAAGUUGUCGGAGUAUUGAAUUAUGUUAACCCAGACCAAAAAGAUAAUACCUAGAUAAUGACAUUAAGCACCGGGAAAGAUGCAUUAUUCACUUGGGAUGUAUGAAAAUGAGAAAGAUGAUGUUAGAGAUCUACAGACCAGAGAACCACAUAGAGCAAUUUAGGAGGAAGCAAUGCCCAACAAAAAAUGUCUGGUUGCAAUUUGUUCUUUUCUUUCCCAAGGAAGAUAUGGCCUUUUUCGUGAGUAGCUUUAUUCCUGCUUUUGCUAGGACCAGUUAAUGGGAAUAAAGAAGAUAAAUUCCAUUUUACUCUUCCCUGCUUACUGUUUCAAAAGAAAAAAGAUAUAAACUUUGCCCUUUGUGGAUCAGUGUUUAAACGGAUUACCAAACUUCCUGAGUAGUGCAUGAGAAUUCACACAUAAAACUCAAGAAACACAGAGUAGCUGGAUUUUGAAACAAGAACAAGUGUCACAAUAGUUUUUAUUACCAAACAACACAUACAAAUUAUGUUCCACCUGGCUCGUUCAGUUCUGCACUGCCUCCUUGUUUCAUUUAAAAUUAUAUUUAUUUUUGGGUAAAACCCUUGGGAAAAUUAUUUGUUCAGUCAGUUAAUCAGCCCCGCCUCAGUCCAAAAGUAAGUUGGUUGGAUAUAUAAAUUCUUUGUAUCCGUUAUGCUCAAUUUUAAAUUAUUUGAGAGAUCCAAAAAAGAAAUGGGGGAAAAGGUAACAAAUAAGUAACGACAAUCAACAACAACAACAGACCCAGUGUAUUCCCACAAAGUGGGGUCUGGGCGGUAAGAUGUACGCCGUCCAUACCGCUACCUCCGAAGAAGUAUAGAGGCUGUUUCCGAUAAACCCUCGGCUCAAGAUAAAGAACAGUAGUCAUUGGGAUGUGUUCAUAAAAGCAUAUAAAUUUUAAUCAAACGGAAAUGAAGAGGACAAAAAUUACAUUAUAGCGAAACAAUUGAUCUUCUCUGAAGAAAGGAGAAGAGCUUACUGUAGUUCCCUCAGCUUCUUGUUCAUUGGCAAGGUCUUGAAGAAACCAGGUUGCACUACCACUGUCUGCUACAUCCAUCUUCAGAUCCAGAAGCUCAAUUAUCAAACUCUCAUCACGCGCAGGGUCCACAAACACCUCCUGCAAUCGAACAAUCAAAUUUGCACAGAAAAUUAGAAAGGAAUAAAGAAAAGAUUGAGACACAAUCUAAAAUAACAAAAAGAUAUCCAAUAUAUCUUCCAAGAUUAAACUUUUAUAAACAACAUAUGCAAGUGUGAUUUUCUUAAUUCAAUCAAAAAGUAAACAAGAACAAAGGCAACAAACCUCGUAUAUAUAACUUAAACAAACAAAACAAAACAAAUCUGAAAAAAAAAACAUUUAGAAGAACAAUGGAUGAAACACAAUCAACAACAACAUACCAAGUGUAGUCCCACAAAGUCGGAUCCUUGAGAGGAUACAGAGUACGCAGACCUUAUCCCUGCCCUUAGAGGUAGAAAGAAUGUUACCGGUAGACCCUCUUCAACUCAAGGAAAAAUAAUCCAGGAAAAGAAGUAACUAAAGUACAAGAAUCAAUGGAUAAUAACAGAAAACAAUUCAUCGUAACAAAAUAAAAACUACAGCAGAACAAUACAUAAUCGAGGUACAAGGAACAACAGAGAAUGACAAGAAACUACCGGAGCUAUACUAUGACUACUAAACACAAUCAAAAAUAAAAUAAUCCCAGAAAUUUCAUUCAAGAUUGAAAAUUUACAAAGGAAAUUGCAAAUUGGAUUGCCUCUAAUUCAACCAAAAGAAGUUCCAAAAAAAAUAAGAAAACAACAAAAACAACAACAACAAACCUGAUGAUCAGGAACUUGACGCACAUUACUGACAUCCUGCAAAACGCAUGAAAUUCAAGUACGCAUUAAUAGUUAAUACUUUCACAAAAUUAAUCAAGAAAUAAAUUAAAAAAAAUAAAAAAAAUUGGGGACAAAAGUUAAAUAAAAAAAAUUGGAAAAGAGUUGAAGAAAACCUGGAAACGAAUAGGGAAAAUAGUGGAAAUAGCGCCACCAAAGAGAGGACGGUAAGCAGUAGAAUCAACAGCCAUAUUGAAUAUCCUCCUAACUUCUCUUCUCUUCACAACAAAAACUUUGCACUGUUUAUUUACUGGGAAUAAUAUGUAUGAUGUUGGUAGAAACAAGUGAAGAAAUCCAGAAUGGGAAUAUAGAUAGAUAGUACUAAAGAAUUCUUAAUUGUGCUUGCUUUCAAAGCCAACUUCAAAAUUUCCUUUAAAAGAAAAAGAAAAAGAAAAAGAAAAUAUAUAUAUAUAUAUAUAGUGCGUAACACUACGAAUACAAAAAAGGAGUAACUAAAGUAAAUAUAUCAGAGCCAGGUUUCGAUCCUGGGACCUGUGGGUUAUGGGCCCACCACGCUUCCGCUGCGCCACUCUGAUACUAUUGCUAAUGGUUGCCAUUGGCAAUAUAUUUAUCUGAAUUUUCCCCUCCCCUUUUUUUAUUUUUACCUUUUUAUUUUUGUGUCUUUUAUGUGAAUUGUAAUAGAGAAAGUUCGUAUACUAAAGAUUUCACGGGAAUUCUCUUUGCGUUCUAAGAAUAUUGGAACAUUUUAGAGUCAAAUUCAUACACGUACAAGCUAAUUUACACUUUAACAAAUUGUAUAAAAUGGCUCAAUUAGAGUUAAAGCUCGGAUUUGAAUUUUAAGAGUUUAAAAUAUUAGAAUAUUAAUGUUAGGUGUGUAGUAAUUGAUUUCUGAAUUUAAUUUCUGUGCGUAUUUAAUGUCCUGUCUAAUACAAAUGUAAGAUUUGGAUUAAAUUUAUUGAGUUUGACCGAACUCAUAUGUCAGCUUCUAGUUUAAUCCUGAGUUCAACAUACAAUUAUUGGUCUUCAAAUAAUGCCCUUAUUUUUUAAAAAUUUUGUUGUAAAAAAUAGGCUCGAUUUGCUUAUAUGCAAGAGAAAGGUAUACUUGUCCUUUCAAUAUAAGUUCAUAUCUACCGUAUUUUUCAUGCUGGUCCAAUAUAAAAUUUAUUUUUGUCUUCAGGUAAUUUCUCUGCACAAACUUAUUGAGGAUUUAAUGGUAUAAAAGCUCGAUAACAAACUUGUUGAUGAUUUUUAGAAUAAGUUCAGAUGUGUAAAUGGAAUUAGUUUAUGAUGACUUAAGUCCAAAAUUCUUAACCAAUAAUUUGAUUGGGUAAAUGAAAUAAGUUUAAAUAAGGUGCCAUGAGAGAAACUAGAAAUCAUGACAAUCCAAUAGAAUUCGGUUUAAGUAUUUAGAAUAUCUCAACUUUCUAAUCUUUAAUCAUUAAUCUCUAAUCAAUGUCUCUAAUCUAAUCAAUGUCUCUAAUAUAUUAAAAGUGUAAAGAAUUUUAUAAAUAUUGUUUAAAUUUUUUGUCUUUCAUUAAAAUAUUUUGUUUUAGAUAAAAUCGUCUUUUUAUCAUUUUUAAAAAUUUAUUAUUUAAUUAAAUUAAGAACUCUUAAAAUAUAUAAAAGUUGGCUCUGCAAUCAUAAAGAAGACGAUAACUUACUGGUGAAGAGGUCGCAAGGAUUUACACUUUGUUUGAAUGGCGUUUUGUCAUAGUUUCAUAAUAUACGGUACUGCGUGGUAUAAUAUCAUACUGUAUAAUAUAUUACAAUACAAUGUUUGAACGAACUGUAUCGUUCACUGUUGUUUAACAACAGAUUUAAUGAUUGGUUUGACAGUAUGGUACUGAAUCGUACAAUCAGUUUCGCCACAGCACCCGUUGCUCUAGCUAAUUAUAUUGUCCACCCUUUCCGAGUGUGAUUUCUAUGGCGGUGCCUAAGGACAUAUCGGUUGAAGCAGAUUCUUCUUUUGAUCAAUCAAAACCCCUUCCAAAGCAUACGGCUUUCUGGAUGUAGAUGAUGAUAUCUAUACAUAUGGAUCUUAUAUAUAUAUAUCGAAGAAUGAAAUACCACAAGGGUGGAAUAUAUAUGAAUUCAAAUCUGCCAUGUUAUGAUCUUCUACAUCCUGGAAGUCAUCUGGCUUUAUGUUCCCAGUAUACGGUAAACGUGAUAUUGCUACUGGAGGGCAAAGGAAAAACAAAAAACAACAAAAAAGGUCUUUAGCAUCGUGCACAACGAAUUAUUGAAAUUUGCGAACGAAUUUAGCCACAUUUCUGCUUAUAACAACACCAUCUGAAGGACGGUAGUAUUUGUUAGCGAAGAGAGAUUAGGUGGUUGAAACUUGGCUUGUUGCAGAUUUUGAUAAAUAGAAGAGAGUUUCAUGUUACCACAGUAAAAGAUAUAUAAAUGUGCAAACAAGUACUACAACAAGUACAAUACUCACAAUAUACAGCCAAUUACGAACUACUCAGAAAUCAUACAACUCCAAGAGCAUCAAGUAUUGCCAUCAUCCUCCAACUUCAGCUCAGCACUUAUGGCUCCAAACAUUGGAUGUUGAUUCUGCAAAUAAUAAUUUGAAUAACUGAUAAGGAACCACCACCAUUCAGCUCUAUAUCUAAGACUAUUUUUACAAGUCAAUUCAACAUCUAAAGACUUGUUCAAUUGAUUAUUUUGGUCAACAACAUACUUUUUCUAGCUCAUUCGUAAGGCACCCCCAUUUGGUUAACCCGGCUUUUAAACGAGUAAUUGCAAUCAACAGGAAGUAACACUGAUUUUUCUCUGUUUUCCCUUAAAAAAGGCAUCCCUUUUGGGCGCUUUCAUAAAAAAAUACGUCUUUGCGGUCCUUUUGUUUCUUUUUGCACCCUCCGUUUGUCUUCUUCUUAGUCUUCCCUCUCCAACUCCUCCGAGUACCUUACUCACAUCCAUAGAUGUAAUUUCCUUCAUGAUUCAGCAUAUCACACAUUCUGUUCUUCACUAUUUAUUUGAUCUAAUCUUUGUCCCACAUAUAGAUUCAGAUACGACAAUGUUAGAUGCAGCUAAUGUAUCAUCACCAACACUGGUAGAAAUUGAAAAUAUGCGAUGAAUGAAAGGAUCAUGUGACUUGAUAGUUUGAUUGCCAUGAGUUGCCAACUUCUAAAAGUGUAAGCCUAGCAAGAGGUAUGAGCCCUCCAGAAUAAUGUUAGCUUUUCUAAAUAGAUAGAUAAUGACAUAUAA
Molecule: long non-coding RNA, 7603 nt
Filed under: Capsicum annuum
Lineage: Eukaryota; Viridiplantae; Streptophyta; Magnoliopsida; Solanales; Solanaceae
Description: long non-coding RNA (CANN_LNC003869)
Source: RNAcentral